AUUAGAACCCUCUCGAGGUG
Molecule: transfer RNA, 20 nt
Filed under: Ambystoma maculatum (spotted salamander)
Lineage: Eukaryota; Metazoa; Chordata; Amphibia; Caudata; Ambystomatidae
Description: partial tRNA-Thr
Source: RNAcentral